RNAcentral lists this ribosomal RNA (1744 nucleotides) under Calonema foliicola. Its description in RNAcentral is "partial small subunit ribosomal RNA". It matches the Rfam family "Eukaryotic small subunit ribosomal RNA", at positions 26 to 1647 of the family's 1831-position model. Lineage: Eukaryota; Evosea; Eumycetozoa; Trichiida; Trichiidae. The record is from RNAcentral.
AUAUGCUUGUCCCAAAGAUUAAGCCAUGCAUGCUGCGAUUCCGUAAAAAUCUGCGAACAGCUCCGUAUAUCUGUUGUCACCAGUUAUGCCACUCUGCCGGCAGCUCCGCAAUCCUUAACGGAUAGUAGCGGUAAUUCUGCUAGUAAAACGUGUAAAAGACAUUGAGGGGGAGAGAUUAGCGUGCGCGAAGCAUAGUUACCCUCCUUCAUCCCAGUUGGCGUCCCAGAGCACCAAUUUUCACCUUAGGGUGGGGAGGGAGUUCCGGGGACAGCACCUCAAAAGGCUCUAACGAGACCUUUAUAGGCAUUGGGCUUCAGACCUAUCAACUAUGGAGGCUGGGUAAAGUCCAGCCUCGGUGAUAACGGGUACAGAGGAUCAGGGUUCGGUCCUGGAGAGGUAGCCUGAGAGAUAGCUACUACUUCUAAGGAAGGCAGCAGGCGCGCAACGUUCCCAAUGGUUCACCACCUUGGUGGCUGAGGACGUUAAGGGACAUAGCGAUACCCUUGCCAAACGGCAUUGGGUAAUUGCAAUGGGGGCGUUCUAAACCCCCCACCGAGUAGCAAUUGGAGGACAAGUCUGGUGCCAGCACCCGCGGUAAUUCCAGCUCCAAUAGCAUCUAAUUGAGUUGUUGCAGUUAAAACGCUCGUAGUCAGAAUUGGCCGCGAUACGCUUCUGAGUACUCCUGGGUGCGGGUUCGUCCUGCCCCUAGACGAAAGGUGCGCGUGCUGUGGCCAUAAAACUGGUACCUGGGAUCAUGUUGAGUAGGGUACGCCUUACAAAAGCACCCCGGGAGGCCGUUUUACUUUGAAGAAAUGUGAGUGCUCUAAGCAGCCCCCAAGGGGCCUGAAGCCUACAGCAAAGAAUAAUACAACACGGCCUCCGUGGCGUAUUGGUACGUGCCUAGAGGCAAUGAUCAAUAGGGGGGAUCGGGGUCGGCCUCAUGGCAGGGGUAGGGGUGAAAUCCGUUGAUCCUUGCCAGGAGAACAAGAGCGAAAGCAGCCGACAAGUACCCUUUCUUUGAUCAAGAACGAAAGUCUGGGGAUCGAAGAUGAUCAGAUACCAUCGUAGUCCAGACCCUAAAUGCUGCCGACCAUGGAUGGGCGUCAGUCCGUCCCGACCCGGCCCGCACCUUGUGAGAAAUCAUCAAGUGUUUGGGCUCCGGGGGGAGUAUGGUCGCAAGACUGAAACUUAAAGGAAUUGACGGAAGAGCACACAAGGAGUGGAGCCUGCGGCCUAAUUUGACUCAACACGGGGAAACUCACGAGUGCAAGAGAGGGUUAUGAAGCUCGGCAUGAAUUGCUUGGCUGAUUCUCUCAGUGGUGGUGCAUGGUCGUUCUUAGUUCGUGGAGUGAUUUGUCUGGUCUAUUCCGCUAACGAGCGAGAACCCAACUUCUGGAUGUUGCCCGGCCAGCAUAGGGCACGCUGCAGCAGCUUCUUGGCACAUUGAGGCUCUCGAGCUUCUCUAAGGCUAGGGGUGGCGGGCGUCCCACUUUUAAAGUGCAGUGCCGGGGUCCUGCAAGGUGUCCCGGUGACAAGCCGGGGCUUUGGGUCAAUAACAGGUCAGUGAUGCCCUUAGAUGUACUCGGCUGCACGCGCGCUACAAUGGUGGGUGCAAAGUGUCUUCUGCCCCUACGCGGGUGUGGAUAAUCAUUGCAAACCCUCUCACAUCCGGGAUUGCAGCAUGUAAAAUGCGGCAUGAACACGGAAUUUCUAGUAGUCGUGGUUCACCAGACCGCGACGAUUC